RNAcentral lists this ribosomal RNA (496 nucleotides) under uncultured bacterium. Its description in RNAcentral is "partial 16S ribosomal RNA". It matches the Rfam family "Bacterial small subunit ribosomal RNA", at positions 28 to 506 of the family's 1533-position model. The record is from RNAcentral.
GAUGAACGCUGGCGGCGUGCCUAAUACAUGCAAGUCGAGCGAACAGACGAGGAGCUUGCUCCUCUGACGUUAGCGGCGGACGGGUGAGUAACACGUGGAUAACCUACCUAUAAGACUGGGAUAACUUCGGGAAACCGGAGCUAAUACCGGAUAAUAUAUUGAACCGCAUGGUUCAAUAGUGAAAGACGGUUUUGCUGUCACUUAUAGAUGGAUCCGCGCCGCAUUAGCUAGUUGGUAAGGUAACGGCUUACCAAGGCAACGAUGCGUAGCCGACCUGAGAGGGUGAUCGGCCAAACUGGAACUGAGACACGGUCCAGACUCCUACGGGAGGCAGCAGUAGGGAAUCUUCCGCAAUGGGCGAAAGCUUGACGGAGCAACGCCGCGUGAGUGAUGAAGGUCUUCGGAUCGUAAAACUCUGUUAUUAGGGAAGAACAAAUGUGUAAGUAACUAUGCACGUCUUGACGGUACCUAAGCAGAAAGCCACGGCUAACUACGU